AGAGUUUGAUCCUGGCUCAGAUUGAACGCUGGCGGCAUGCCUUACACAUGCAAGUCGAACGGCAGCACGAGAGCUUGCUCUUGGUGGCGAGUGGCGAACGGGUGAGUAAUAUAUCGGAACGUACCCUAGAGUGGGGGAUAACGUAGCGAAAGUUACGCUAAUACCGCAUACGAUCUACGGAUGAAAGUGGGGGAUCGCAAGACCUCAUGCUCAUGGAGCGGCCGAUAUCUGAUUAGCUAGUUGGUGGGGUAAAAGCUCACCAAGGCGACGAUCAGUAGCUGGUCUGAGAGGACGACCAGCCACACUGGAACUGAGACACGGUCCAGACCCCUACGGGAGGCAGCAGUGGGGAAUUUUGGACAAUGGGCGCAAGCCUGAUCCAGCAAUGCCGCGUGAGUGAAGAAGGCCUUCGGGUUGUAAAGCUCUUUUGUCAGGGAAGAAACGGUGGACUCUAAUACAGAUCACUAAUGACGGUACCUGAAGAAUAAGCACCGGCUAACUACGUGCCAGCAGCCGCGGUAAUACGUAGGGUGCAAGCGUUAAUCGGAAUUACUGGGCGUAAAGCGUGCGCAGGCGGUUGUGCAAGACAGAUGUGAAAUCCCCGGGCUCAACCUGGGAAUUGCAUUUGUGACUGCACGGCUAGAGUGUGUCAGAGGGGGGUAGAAUUCCACGUGUAGCAGUGAAAUGCGUAGAGAUGUGGAGGAAUACCGAUGGCGAAGGCAGCCCCCUGGGAUAACACUGACGCUCAUGCACGAAAGCGUGGGGAGCAAACAGGAUUAGAUACCCUGGUAGUCCACGCCCUAAACGAUGUCUACUAGUUGUCGGGUCUUAAUUGACUUGGUAACGCAGCUAACGCGUGAAGUAGACCGCCUGGGGAGUACGGUCGCAAGAUUAAAACUCAAAGGAAUUGACGGGGACCCGCACAAGCGGUGGAUGAUGUGGAUUAAUUCGAUGCAACGCGAAAAACCUUACCUACCCUUGACAUGUCUGGAAUCCUUGAGAGAUCAGGGAGUGCUCGAAAGAGAAUCAGAACACAGGUGCUGCAUGGCUGUCGUCAGCUCGUGUCGUGAGAUGUUGGGUUAAGUCCCGCAACGAGCGCAACCCUUGUCAUUAGUUGCUACGAAAGGGCACUCUAAUGAGACUGCCGGUGACAAACCGGAGGAAGGUGGGGAUGACGUCAAGUCCUCAUGGCCCUUAUGGGUAGGGCUUCACACGUCAUACAAUGGUACAUACAGAGGGCCGCCAACCCGCGAGGGGGAGCUAAUCCCAGAAAGUGUAUCGUAGUCCGGAUUGUAGUCUGCAACUCGACUACAUGAAGUUGGAAUCGCUAGUAAUCGCGGAUCAGCAUGUCGCGGUGAAUACGUUCCCGGGUCUUGUACACACCGCCCGUCACACCAUGGGAGCGGGUUUCACCAGAAGUGGGUAGCCUAACCGCAAGGAGGGCGCUCACCACGGUGGGAUUCGUGACUGGGGUGAAGUCGUAACAAGGUA
This 1491-nucleotide ribosomal RNA is filed under the name metagenome. Its description in RNAcentral is "bacterial SSU rRNA". It matches the Rfam family "Bacterial small subunit ribosomal RNA". The record is from RNAcentral.